This is a long non-coding RNA of Hordeum vulgare subsp. vulgare (domesticated barley), 544 nucleotides long. RefSeq lists it as uncharacterized. Lineage: Eukaryota; Viridiplantae; Streptophyta; Magnoliopsida; Poales; Poaceae. The transcript is spliced from 3 exons. The record is from RefSeq and is a predicted model, not a curated record.
UACGACUAUAGGAACCCGCUCCACAUAAUCCAGCAGCCCAGAGUAGUAAUCGGCCCAUAGACGACCUACAGGAGCUGCUGUGCAUCACAUCUCCCUUUCUCAAAAAAAAAAAAAACUCUUUCCUCAACCACGCUCGCCGCUGGGCACGGCGGCUCGAUCGCCUCACUGCCUCGGAAACGAAGCCGUCGCACGCACGCCAAUGCUCAGGAGGCGAGGAGCUCGCCUCUGAUCCACGCGACGAGGAGGGGGAACAAAACGCGCCUGAGACGGUCGUUUUUGGCAGCACUGGCCGGUGAUUGUCGAAGUUCGCCGGCCGGCCCUCUUCCAUACGAAUUUGCUACUGAAGUUUGGUUUGCCGAGAAGAGUUACAAAUGAAAGGUGUGGCUAACAUUGAGCAGACACUUAAGAAGGAAUUCCCUAGGUGGUUUGAGAAGCAUAUUCAUAAUAUAGGAGAACAGAAUGUUUCAGAGGAUUUGUACUCGCUAUCAUGUGGCCCAGACAAGCCUUUACUGGUGUACUCUGCCUACAAUGUGAAUGGUGUUCG